Molecule: long non-coding RNA, 2068 nt
Organism: Austrofundulus limnaeus
Lineage: Eukaryota; Metazoa; Chordata; Actinopteri; Cyprinodontiformes; Rivulidae
Exons: 5
Source: RefSeq, a predicted model, not a curated record
UUUUCAGUUUUUCAGUCUUUGUCACUCCUCCUCAGUGAGUUUCUGCUCCUCCCUCCUGCCACGCCCACCUCACCUGCUCCUCCUUCCCUGUUUGCCACAGCUGCGUUCACUUUCCUCGUUAGCUUCAGUCUUAUUCUGUCAGCUUCUAGKCCAUUCUCAGUUGAACAUGCAUCUUACACGUCAAGUCUAGUUUCUGUGCCUGCUCCGAGUCUCCCUCAUGGAACUGUAAAAUUUGUUGCCACGCCCACUUUUUGUUUUGAUAAUUAAGUUUUGCUUAGUUCUUCAAGCUCAGUGUUAAGCUGCAWUCCUGGGUCCAGAUCUUCCUGCCAGCCAAGAAGAACAACAGGAACAAAACAUUAUCCAAUGUGUGCUGACAAGCAGAUCUUGGUGAAGGGAGGAGCAGAUGGAGAGAGAGAGAGAGAAAGAGAGAGGGACGAUUUCAAAACAAGGGGGCAUAUUUACUAGUGCUUUUUUGAAGAUCUCUGAGCUGGGCUUCUGCAAAGACUUUGGUCAGUAAUAAAGAAGAAUUUCCCUCAGGGAGCACACACUGUUAACAGCAGUUAGCCUUAGCACUGCGAGUGCAGCCUGCGGCACUGAGGUUGUUCAAAGAGCUAUCUAUAAGAGCCCUGCAUGGUCAGGCGGCCAAACCACAUGAACACAGUUAGCAGAAACUGUGCUCCGGGGGAGCAACACAUCGGUCUUCAACCUGAAGUUUUUAUUUUUUAUUUUUUUUGCAUGAGGAAAUCAAAGACUUGCUGGUAAUGACUUCAGUCUGGGCCAUGCGUGGGGGUCCGUUUUGAGCUGCUGUUCCCCAGCCGUGGCGGUGCUUUCACACAUGCUCAUUCACAGGCAGCUCAUAGGACACGGCGAGGCUCGACCCCGCUCGGUCAACGACCACACAAACGACAUGUGGAGCCAGCUCUGGGCCCGUUCAGUCAGUCACACUUAAUCACAUAUAGAAACGCAGAAAAUAUUUGUAGGAGUAAGUCAUCAAGGAGAAACAAAAACCAGUGAAUGUAACGAGACCAUUGUUUGAAUGGUAAAAUGGACAAAUGAAGGAARGGAAAGGUUAGAGUCAAACUGGUGAUGCAGUCUCAGCAGCGUUGCUGUUGAGAAACCAACAGAGGGCAGUGUGGCUUGUAUSAGAGGAAAGCCAGCAGCUGGGGUUCAAGGUUGUGAUCACCUGACAUGAGCAGACAGACACACACACACACUUACAGUACACAUGUUUUGUGUUUUGCCUGGUUAUUAUAUACAUAAAUGAUAAACAGACUCCAAUAAUCUUUUCUUCUUUAUGAUCUGUGGAGGAAAAACUCUCUGAUCUCCUCUGUGGCUGGUGUGCCUCUCUCAUUGGUUAAUUUCCUCUCAACUCAUUCAGAAUCAGUGUCGUUUCAAGGAUGAAAUAUCAAAUACUGCACUGUAGUUGAAAAGYCAGCUCAUUUAUUUACUACAUCUUAAAAAAUAUUAUCUUAAAAAUAAUAUUAGAAGCAAAAAGAAGAGUGGGCAUUUGAUAAAUUAAACAGACCACAUGGCUGUGUGCUGGUUUGAUGCUAUUCAUCUUUUUAUGAGACAGUAGAGACGGACUGUCUGGGUGUAAUCAGAUGAAAUCAUUCAUGAUUCUUAAAAAUGUACAAAUAAAARUGAAAUAAAUUGCUCAGAGUUGGUGGGAGCGGUUUGUUUUUGUCAUCGGUGGGUUUCACUGGUUGAAACUCCCUCCAGAACACUUUUGUAUCACCUUGUAUGUUUUGUUAUUCAUGAAUGUGAGUGCUUGGUUCGCAAAUGGUGUGGUUUAGUUUGUGAGUAAGGGGGGAAAAACAGGAAAAAAGAAAGGAGAGAUGGAUGAGGGCAGUUUGGGGGCCAUGKGUGUUUUAAUUAUCCACUGCUCUGUUGUUGGGUCAGAGCUUGCUAUCUCUUCCCGCCUUUAAUGAUUUGAGCAGUACCUUCAUCCCUAAACCUUCUGCUCCUCCAAACAAAGGAAAGGAAGAGGGUAAAAAAAGGGUAUUAAAGUCAUGACUGUCCCACAUUUACCAUUAAUAUCUCUCAACCUCCUCCUUUUAAAAUGUAGAGC